AAAACCUCUUCCCCGGCCACGUGACCCGGCGCCCCAGGCCACCCCGGCGGAGGAGGGACGUGGAGGGCGAGGACGCCUGCGGAAGGGAAGGAGGGAGGAAAGGCGCUCAGGCUCGCACGGGCGGGAUUCCAGACUACGGAGUCUCGCACUGUCGCCCAGUGCAGUGGCGUGAUCUCGGCUCACUGCCAUCUCCGCCUCCCAGGUUCAAGUGAUCCUCCUGCCUCAGCCUCCCGAGUAGCUGGGACUACAGGUGUGCGCCACCACGCCGGGAUAAUUUUAAAAAUUUCUGUAGAGACGGGGGUCUCCCCAUGUCGCCCAGGCUGGUCUCUAACUCCUGGCCUCAAGUGAUGGUCCUGCUUCAGCCUCCCAAAGUGCUGGGAUUACAGGUGUGAGCCACCGCACCUGGCCUCAAAACUUUAUUUUUAUAAACGGCACAAAACAUAUAUGCUGAAAUAAAAAGAGCUUCCUUCCUGAUGUUGAUUCU
RNAcentral lists this long non-coding RNA (484 nucleotides) under Homo sapiens (human). RNAcentral describes it as "HSALNT0105509". Lineage: Eukaryota; Metazoa; Chordata; Mammalia; Primates; Hominidae. The record is from RNAcentral.